UGUGACAUGGAGGUCGGUCGAUGGUGGCUCAUUGAGCAUCUCUCUGGUUUGCCUGGAUGGAUCUGUACUCGGUCGGUUUGAAGCCUAUAGGUGUCUCCGGCGAUGCUUCUGGGCGUAGGCGGAGCACCUGUGUAGUGUAGAGGUGGUUCCAUGGUGCAUGUCGUGCUGAGUCCAAUUUUUCAUCUUACUUCUUGUUUUGUAUUGUAGCCAUAGGAUUUUCGGGAUUUUAGCGCAUUCGUGCGCCCUUUUUGUCUAUUUUCCCAGGAUCUUAACGAAGGAGAGAAUCAAAGCAUUAUGAUGAGUCCAAUUUAUGUGAUGUUUUUACUAAGUAUUUUGUGCCUACGUAGUAGGCUUUGUGAAAUUUUACCGCGUUCCUGCACUUCUUUUGUUGAUAAUACCUCAGGUAACAUCUUUUGGAUCAAUUAUCAUUUAAUGGAGAAAAUCCUUAGAAAUGGUGGUGGAAUCAUGCAUUUAAUGUGAUGAUAUCUUUCCAUAAAAGAAUCAAGCGAGGAGGCCAAAGAAAUGGAUGUCAUCCCGCUUUCAGCAUGAAUGACGGUGUUCCAUAUGACCAUAAGCAUAUGUAUGAGUGGUCAUAUGGCACCCCACCACCGCCGCUGGAUCAAGUAUUUUCACCCUGUCGAAUCGGAUCAUGAAUCAGACGCCCAAAGACACAAAAACUCAUCCAGAAGAUUGAACCCUAGCCUCCGGAGUUCAUCCGGAGGAGGGAUUGGCAAGGAGAAGUAGGGGAUCCUUCUCACCGCGGAGGAGGACAACGUCAUCAUCACUGGCAUCAUCUUCAACUACAUCAUCAUCAUCAUCCACAUCCUUAUCAUCUGCAACAUCAAGAACCCUAGUGGAUCCUUUGGUGUAUCAUUUGAAUCUCUCAUUCAUGUAUUCCAAUACUAUUGUCAUGAUGUUUGUUGCCCUCAUGUGUGAGUAGACCCCAUGUUCUCGAGGAUAUGGAUGAACCUUGGUAUGUGUAGGAUCUAACAUGUUUAUUGUGGAUAUGAGAUUCUUUGUUGAAUGCUUAGUUUAAUAACUUCGUGAAUGCUGUGAAGGGGCCCCACUCAGCAUUUGUGCCUUAUGUCCACAAAGUUUAUCAUUGUCGUUGUAAAGGUUUAAGACGUGGAGCUAAUUCAAGGUGACAGUAAAAGCCUACCGCUCCUAGCCUUUGCAAUUGAUUGGGGAAUAACAAAGAACCCUUUGAGAGGCUGGUACAUCUCCCACGUAUCUAUAAUUUUUCUUUUUUCCAUGCUAUUAUAGUAUCAAUCUUGGAUAUUUUAUAUGCAAUUAUAUGCAAUCAUAUAUUAUUUUUUGGGACUAACUUAUUAACUUAGUGCCUAGUGGUAGUUGCUAUUUUUUGCCUGUAUUUGGUUUUCCAGGAAAUAAGUACCAAACGAAGUCCAAAUGCCAUGAAUCUUUUUGGCGAUUUUUAUGGACAUAAGAGACCCUUGAAUCUUCGAGAGGAGGCUAGAAGAUGAAAGAGUGGGUCACGACCCAAUUGGGAGCGCCUAGGGGGUAGGCACACCCAUGUGCCUCAUGGGCCCCUCAUUCCUUUAUUUGACCUAAUUCCCACUCUGUAAAUUCUCUAAAAUCGGGAAACCAACAGAGAGCCACCCAAAAUACCUUUUUCCGCUACCGCAAGCUUUCGUUAUCACAAGAUCCCAUCUGGAUGCAUUUUCUGACACUCUGUCGGAAGGGGAAUCGAUCACGGAGGGCCUCUACAUCAACGUUGCUGCCCUUCCGAUGAUGUGUGAGUAGUUUACCAUAGACCUACGGGUCCAUAGCUAGUAGCUAGAUGGCUUCUUCUCUCUCUUUGAUCUUCAAUACAAUGUUCUCCUCGAUGUUCUUGGAUAGCUAUUCGAUGUAAUCCUUUUUUGCGGUGUGUUUGUUGGGAUCCGACGAAUUGUGGGUUUAUGAUCAGAGUAUCCAUGAAUAGACUGACUCCUUUUUUGCGGUGUGUUCAUUGCCUUGGAUAUCAUCGUAACUAUGCGCUUUUCUAUAAAUUGCCCAACAAUAAUUUGUAUAGCCACCGUAUGCUUUUUGUUCGAGAGAGAAGCCUCUAGUGAAAACUAUGGCCGCCGGGUCUAUCUUUAUCAUAUAUUAAAAUCCAAAAAUACCUUGCAGCAAUUAUUUACUUUUAUUUUAUUUUGUGUCUUUGUUUAUCUAUCUAUCACUACCAUAUUUGAUCCUUGCAAUUAACUACCAAGGGAUUGACAAUCCCUUCUUUUGCUUUGGGUGCAAGUAUUUGUUAUUUUGUGUGUAGGUGUUGUUCACGAGGUGUUGCGUGGUUCUCCUACAGGAUCGAUAACCUUAGUUCUUAACUAAGGGAAAUACUUAUCUCUACUGUACUGGAUCAUCCUCUCCUCUUCGAGGAAAUCCCAACGCAGCUCACAAGUAGUAGUUCUUAACUGAGGAAAAUACUUAUCUCUACUGUACUGCUUCAUCCUCUCCUCUUCAAGGAAAUCCCAACGCAACUCACAAGUAGGAGGAAGAAUUUCUGGCGCCGUUGCCGGGGAGACAUCAUCAAAACCUAUCAAGUACCCUAGCAUAAAAUAUCAUCUACUUGCCCUUCUUUUUCUUUGCCUUUGCCUCUCGUUUUCAUCUCCCCUACUUCUAUUUUUUAACAAAAACACAAAAAUAUUUUUAUUUCCCCGUUUGCUUGUUUGAAGUUGCUACGAUGUCUAAAUAUGAGAAAGUUAUUGUUGAAAGCACUAGUGAAGAUAGUGCUAGUGAGUAUCUUGAGGAGAAACUUAAUAAUUUUGAUAUUAAUCAUGAUCCUCAGGAUCAUGAAUUCCCCACAAAUUUGAAAACUAAAAUAUAUCAUGUGGAUAGAGGAAAUAUUAAUGGGAAGAACAUUAUUCAAGAGUUGUUUAAUUGCACAGGAGUUGUACCUAUAAUAAAAGGAUAUAUUCUUAAUAAAACAAGUUGCUAUGUGGGUGUUAUUUCUAUGCAUGUGGUUAAGUUUGAGAGAAUAUUUUUGCAUAUUCAUCCGGUUUUACAAAAGAUAUCUUAUGAACCUAAAAUCAAAAAGAUUGCAACUAUUAUCCUUAUGCAUGAAUUUGACUAUAUAAUUCGGGAGGCUGGGGUCAUCUUUGCAUUUUACAACAUAAAUUAUGAGCACCCUCAUAUAGUAGAAGUUCUUCAUGACAAAGACACUAUAUGAAGGUUGGAAUCUAAAUAUUACUUUGUGUAUGAUGAAAAUCUUAGGAGAAGAGUCCCUUAUGUUGAAAAUAUUAAAACUUUGUAACACCAUACCUGUGUUAAAUUUGAGUGGAUAACUAAAGGGGCUAUUAAAAUGCCCGUGCGUUGCUAUAGGCUAUAGUGCAUAUAAAUGAAGCAAAGAAAUAAUUAAGUCGUUUUAAGAUUGAUGUUUAUUUCUCUAUCAUACGUUGGAGUGUGUUUAAACAUCAAACAGGCGCCUAAGCCUGACAGCAAGAGCAUAAUAUUACCAUGUGACAACAAAAAAAUAGCGGCAUUUGAUAAGAAGAAGGUGCCGUGUAUAGUUUUGAACCAUGUUGGUACGUGUGUCCUUCAUCUUCCUUUGUAAUGUGCUUUUGAUUCUCUGCUGGCAUAGCAGGUCUCCUUGUCCAAUAGAUCUAUCUCCCCUAUCCGCAACCACCUCCACCUCUCCUUCCUAACGGUGUAAUCAUCAGAUGUCACCUGGCUACAUUGGCUCUCAUUCCGACACCAUCUUGUCCCCAUUGACUUGCCCUCGCAUAUCCUGGAUCAAUCCUAGCACAUCUUACCAUUUUGUUCAGGCACCAUCUCAUCAUCACUACACCGCCAAGGGUCCUCCUCACCCUUGGCCCAACACAUCGCAAGAAGUAACCCUGGCCACAUUUUGGCCAAGUAUUAACUACAAGACACACACACAUACACAGUUGAAAAAAAUGUCUAAAUCUGAUAUAUUAUUUGUUAGCUUAUGAACUUCAGUGCCAUGGAAUGAUAUAUAAAAUCAACUAUGAAUUUCAAUACCUAGAUAAAGAUUUACAAGAAACUAAUGGGAGGUAAAAGAUACAUCAUCACAUGGAUUGAUAGUGGAGUAAAAGAUACAUCGUCACAUGGAUUGAUAGUUGACUAAGCUCCAUGGUUUCUAUAACCCAAUCCUUGUCUUCAUGCAAGAACAAGUGCUUGGAUUCCACAGCCCCAUGGCUGCAAGCGCAUCAUCCAUAGUGUAUGUUUCUAGAUUAUUUGUGUCUUUGCUUUAUCAGUAAUAUCACACGCCAGUCUCCAAACUUUCCCAGAAUCAUCAAAAUAAAUUUUCUCCAGAACAUCAUAUUUGGUAGCUCUAGUAAUGGCGCUGUGAAAAAUGCUGGCCCGAGCCCCAGCUCGCCCUGCCUCCGUCACUGCAAAUAAGUCAAUAGUAUGCCCCAUAUAGAGAAAUAUAACGAAUACAACUUGUUGCAUACGAUAAUGAAUAUGUAGUGUCAAGUUUCAAGAGCGUGUGGUCUCCUCAAAUGUAGUAUAUAAAAACAAGGCAAAAAAUUUGAAGCAAAUGAUGAACUCUUUUUUUCAAAAAAUGGCAUCAUUUGAAAUGCCCAUAAUGAGUAUCCAUCCAACCUGUCAGCUAAGUCAGCUACCAUGUUAACCUAACAAGUGCAUUUGUUGGUUCAUGAUUUAUGAAAAACAACAUCAAUACUAAUUUAUUUUUUAAGUUUGAUUGAAGGUUCCCCCAAAGCAUUACAUUUCAUGGACAUGAAAGAAUACAUGUUUUCAAGACCAAUUACUUCAAUUAACUUGCGAUGCUGCUUGGUGUAUGAGAAAAUUCAAAGAAGAUUGAGGUGUUUAAAAAAUAUAGAUUUAAGCAGGUGGUGAGAAAUCAAAGCUCAACCUCAGCCAUUGAUAGCAUAUUGAUAUGAUCCAAGGUGAGAGGACCUUUAAGUGUACAAAGGUCACGAGUUAGCAUAUGACCUUAUGUGACGAUUAGUACCAUAGUUCAUAGAAAUGACUCACAUGGACAACAACAUAUAUAAAAAUUUAAUAGCAUCCAGAUCAUCUUUCAUGAUACCCCUUCCCGCAAGAAGAUAAACUGUCAGUUUAAUAUAACCAGAUAGAUAACAUACAUAGAUGUAGUAGUAUAUGUUAUGAUUCCUAACUCAAUUAAUUUUACGAAAGUAAAGUUUCAUCAAGCAAAUGAGGGACAUUUUUACCAAAGAGAAUAAAUUAGCUUAAGUACAUUGUGUAAUAUGUUGUUGGAGGAGGAAGACCUAAUAAACCUUAUUCCAGCACCACCAACAUCUCCUCUCCUUUGCCCAUAUGUCACAACUGCAGGAUGCUGCUAAUGCGACACUACGAUCAGAGACCCUUCGAGAAACUGUGUGUGAUGCCAUAAUCGCAAAUAGUGUUGUAUGAAGGCGUGUGCGAUGCACAGCAUACGGUUCACUCAGGUGAACUGUUUGUGAUUAGGCAACACAAAAGAAAUGGGCAGCCAGAUGAAGGUGUGUGCGAUAUACAAUAUAUGGUUCACUCGGAUGAACUGUUUGUGAUUAGGCAACACAAAAGAAACAGUCAGCCAGAUAAAGGUGUGUGUGAUUGAGGGCAUACACUUCAGAAGGAUUAACUAUUUGCGAUUAGGCAACAUAACAGAAACGGGUAAGCCAGAUCAAAGUGUCUGCAAUUGAUGGCAUACACUUCACAUGGAUGAGCUAUUUGCGAUUAGCCACAACAAACUGAAACAGUUAGAUAGAUCAACGUGUGUGCGCUAGACGGGCACACCCAUUCUAAUUAAAAGACAUGUGCUGACAUUGCCUAUUGUGGUGCACCCUAUGGUGCAAAUGCCACGUACGCAGCCGAGAAGGCGUACGUGCCCAUGUUACGCCUUCCAAGAAUAGUGCCGCAAUUAUAACCAUCAGUAAAUUUUGUGCAUGCGUCCCAUCACAUUCAAAAUUGCAAACCUUUUCACACCGAUCAAAACCUAAACGGUUUCCCACUUAGGAGUGUAUUACUACGCGGUUGUAAAUACUACUACUCCAAGAUGACUACACAUUCCUCCUCAACUCCUCAUCCACAAAAAGUCAAAAACAAAAAAGUCAUUCAUCAUCGUUCCCUUGCGUCCGCCAUGGCCUGUGUGAGUUCUGGGUCGAGAGAUUGUCACCAGGGAGAGGUGAGCCUAGAAGCGUGAACACGAGAGAUGUCCCGCCUCACCGUGAUAGUAGCCAACAUGUCCUGCCGUAGGGCCGUAGCAGCAGAGAGGUCCCACCGUGCCGCUGAAGCAGCACGGAGGACCCGCUGCACCGUCGAUGCAGUAGACUGGUCCGGCCGCGCCGUGGAAGCGGAAGAGAUGUCCUGCCGCGCCACGAAUGCAGCAGAGAUGUCCUCCCUUGCCGCAGAGGCCUGGGAAAAUGCCUCGUGGGCAGGCGAGGACUCUUACAGGCGCAUGUCUGCCCUUGUCCAUAGGUAGAUGGAUCAGAUCUCCAGGGGGCGAGGUUCUAGGAUGACCUGCAAGCCUCGUUUGAACAGUCUACCGACGUCAUCCGACAACUAAAUGAGAGCAAUGCGAAGCUCCGGGCCGAGCGCGACCUGUUGAGGGCGAAGAUCGUCGGGACUGCGGAGCAGCAGGAGCAGACCACUGCCUUGUUGAAGAGGAUCGGCGUCACCGUUGAGAAACUUAUGGAUGAGAAUAACAAGCUACGCAUUGAGCGCAAAAGGCUGGUGGAGGAAUCCGUGGAUGCUCUCAAGAAGCAUCUUGAGGAGAAGAAAGAGCUCGUCGCCGCAGCAACACAUCAAGAAAGUAGAGAUGAGCGAGCCAGAUCAUUGUCUUCCUUCUUCUUUUGCCCUUGUGUAUUUCGGGCGUUGCCGCAUGUGGCUUUUUUUAAUUAUGUUUCUAAAUAUGUAAGACAAUUAUUAUCCACUGUCAUCAUCCUUAUAUUCAUCAUGCUUGCUAUCAGUCGCAGUCGAUGCUAUAUAGGUCCGUCAGAUCUUACAUCAAGAUCCGUGCAAAACUUUCUUUUUAGAUUUUCAUUUUUCUCUCUUAAAUAUCAGUCCAGUGAGACAUAUAGCCACGCCGUAGAACAGGUGAUCGGGCAACAUUAAUGGAGACGCUAGGAGGGAGGUGUGCGGCAGGUAGCGGUCAAAGGGCUCUCCUCCCAAUGAGCACGCGCAUGGGUCUGAUCGCACGCCUCCCAUACUCAAAUAGCUACCCCGCACAGCACCUCCUAGCUAGUAAAAAGGGGACAUCUGGCCGCAUGUAAUUGGUAAGUCGAACGCCCACGGUUUCAAUAAUACUUGUGUUUCCAAUUUGUAAAGUGACAACACUUGUUCCAAAAUGACUUUGUUGAUUGUUAAUGUGUGGGCCUUUGCAAAUCGUACAGAAAAAUUACCAUAGCAUCUUGGUGCCAUGUCAUGAGACCAUGCCAAGUUUCAUGAUUUUCAGGUGUGUUUUGGAAUUAUGGGAAUUAAAAAACCAAGUUUCUCAAUCUUUCCGGCCGAGGCACGAUGCCCAAAUGUUUAAAUUUCAAUCCCAUCACUUGCAUGGGAGCUAGAAAUUCACCCAAGGACACACAUGUGAUUUUUCAAACAACUCUGGUGCACUGGAGCAUGUGCUUGUAGUUUAAAUUUGAAUUAUGCACAUUAAAUGCCUAGAAACUCAAUUAUUGUAUAAAAAGGCCAAACGAACCCAGAAUAAUUCCAAAAUUUAGCACGGUACUUCUAUUUGGUCUAAUCUGGCUUUGUAAAAAAAUAAGGCGAGAGAAGGCAAUGUAUAUAUGCCCUUUCGCACACGGAGGUGACACGUUCCCUCUCGGAACCACUAGCCUUCUUGAGGGAAGCUCCAGUUUGCAAGAAGCUUACACCAAAGCUUGUCCCAAUUCGGCCAAAAAUAUUACUGCAGCAUGUUGGUGCCAUGUCAUGACACCAUGCCAAGUUUCAUGAUUUUUAGGCGUGUUUUGGAAUUACAGGAAUUAAAAAACCAAGUUUCUCAAUCUUUCCGGCCGAGCCACGAUGCCCAGAUGUUUGAAUUUCACUCCCAUCUCUUGCAUGGGACCUUGAAAUUCUCCCAAGGACACACAUGUGAUUUUUCGAACAACUUUUGUGCACUGGAGCAUGUGCUUGUAGUUCAAAUUUGAAUUAUGCACAUUAAAUGCCUAGAAACUCAAUUAAUGUAUACAAAAGGCGAAAUGAGCCUGAAAUAAUUCCAAAUUUAGCACGGUACUUAUAUUUGGUCUAAUCUGGCUGUGUAAAAAAAUUAAGGCAGGAGAAGGCAGUGCAUGUAUGUCGUUUCGCACACGGAGGUGACACGUUCCCUCUCGAAACCACGAGCCUUCUUGAGGGAAGCUCCGGUUUGCAAGAAGCUUACACCGAAGCUUGUCCCAAUUUGGCCAAAAAAAUUGCCACAGCAUGUUCGUGCCAUGUCAUGAAAACAUGCCAAGUUUCAUGAUUUUCAGGCGUGUUUUGGAAUUGCAGGAAUUAAAAAACCAAGUUUCUCAAUCGUUCCGGUCGAGCCACGAUGCCCAGAUCUUUGAAUUUUACUCCAAUCUCAUCCAUGGGACCUAGAAAUUCACCGAAGGACACACAAGUGAUUUUUCAAACAACUUUGGUGCACUGGAGCCUAUGCUUGUAGUUCAAAUUUGAAUUAUGCACAUUAAAUGCCCAGAAACUCAAUUAAUGUAUGAAAAAGGCGAAACGAGCCCGGAAUAAUUCCAACAUUUAGCAUGGUACUUCUAUUUGGUCUAAUCUGGAUGUGCAAAAAAUUAAGGCGGAAGAAGGCAGUGUACGUAUGUCGUUUCGCACACGGAGGUGACAUGUUCCCUCUCGGAACCACGAGCCUUCUUAAGGGAAGCUCCGGUUUGCAAGAAGCUUACACCAAAGCUUGUCCCAAUUCAGCCAAAAAAAUUACCGCGGCAUGUUCCUGCAUGUCAUGAGACCAUGCCAAGUUUCAUGAUUUUCAGGCAUGUUUUGGAAUUACAGGAAUUAAAAAACCAGGUUUCUCAAUCUUUCCGGCCGAGCCACGACGCCCAUACAUUUGAAUUUCACUCCCAUCUCUUGCAUGGGACCUAGAAAUUCACCCAAGGACACACAUGUGAUUUUUCAAACAACUAUGGUGCAAUGCAGCACAUGCUUGUAGUUCAAAUUUGAAUUAGGCACAUUAAAUGCCCAGAAACUCAAUUAAUGUAUAAAAAGGCCAAACGAACACGGAAUAAUUCCAAAAUUUAGCACGAUACUUCUAUUUGGUCUAAUCUGCCCGUGUAAAAAUAUUAAGGUCGGAGAAGGCAUUGUACGUAUGUCAUUUCGCACACGGAGGUGACACGUUCCCUCUCGGAACCAGGAGCUUUCUUGAGGGAAGCUCUGGUUUGCAAGAAGCUUACACCAAAGCUUGUCCCAGUUCAGCCAAAAAAAUUACUGCAGCAUGUUGGUGCCAUGUCAUGACACCAUGCCAACUUUCAUGAUUUUCAGCUGUAUUUUGGAUUUACAGGAAUUAAAAACUCAAGUUUCUCAAUCAUUCCGGCUGAGCCACAACACCCAGAUGUUUGAAUUUUAUUCCCAUUUCUUGCAUGGGACCUAUAAAUUCACCCAAGGACACAUCUGUGAUUUUCAGCAAACUUUGGUGCAUUGGAGCAUGUGCUUGUAGUUAAAAUUUGAAUUAUGCACAUUAAAUGCCCAGAAACUCAAUUAAUGCAUAAAAAUACCAAACGAACCUGGAAUAAUUCCAAAUUUAAACACGACAAUCAUGCACUAGUUGCAUGUUCACUGUAUGUAAAUGUUCUAGCAAUUCAAGCACCAUCCUUUCCCUUUGUAACACCAUUUUGUCUUUCAAAACAUAAUGAAAAACAUCAGGUAUACCACAAACAGUUUACUAGAAAGAAUCGUGUGGGAUGCGAUAUAAAAUAUCUUGGCGCACUGUCUUGUCUGUCUUACGCAGGAAGCUUCAUCAUCUACAGUCCACCACCCCCGCUUGAACCACACUUGCGCGCCAGUUUUUUGAGGCACCGAGCGAAUUUUUUUGCCACCGGGGAAAUAUCUAUCUGCCCGCCCCUCCCUCCUACCAAAAGACACAUUUCCACUGGUCCUCCUUGCUUUCCAAGUUCAAACCUUCAUUGUUGCUUAUUGGUAGCUCAGCCUCCUCGUCGGCAACCCUUCUUCUUGCAGCGCCGCCUCCUCGCCGGCUACCCUUGUUCUUGCUGCGCCGCCUCCUCACCGGCGACCCUUCUUCUUGUAGCACCGCCUCCUCGCCGGCGACCCUUCUUCUUGCUGCGCGGCCUCCUCGCCACCGACCCUUCUUCUUGCUGUGCGGCCCCGUCGAUAUAGUCAGGUAAUCCACACCCCACCCACACCAUCCUCCUCCUUUCCCUUGCCACAUGCCCCAACAGAUGGAGCAACACCUUCCACCCUAAUCACUGCCCCCUCCUCCAAUUAAGCGCCGCCCACACCCAUUUUACGCGUAGUAUAAUGUGGAGCUGAGUAGCAUGCAGUCGCAUGCCCGGACGAGGUCACUAUGGCUGACAUGCGUGUCGACUGCCAGAUCUUGGAGGAGCACCUCGUCUUUGAGGCCACCAUCGACACCGCCGCGCGGUUGUCUACUUUAAAAUACAGUUUGUGAUGUUUUCUCGAGGCCACCGCCAGUGCCUUCUAGUGAUUUGUCCUCUGUAAUGUUAAUAUGCAAUAUGAUGUUUAGUUAAUAGUUUGGUCCUCUGAAAUGUAAUGUUCAGUUAACACUUUGGUCCAACAACUGCUACAUUUCAUAGUACUAUUCUCAAGCAUUCUUUGUUUUGUUAACUGUCUUAUCUUCUUGUACAUGUUCCUAUUCUACAAUGUCGUGCUUAGUUAACUAUUUUGGUUCAUUUGGUCUACUGUCCAUUUAACUGUUUGGUUCAGUUCUAUAAUUUGAUUUUCAUUUGCUGUGGGUACAAUUUUGUAUUGUUAUGCAUGUGACACCAAUCGAAUUUGGCUGUACUCAAUACAUGUUCUACUAAUAGUAUGGCAACUCUCAGUUAACCUGAUCAAGAUCUUCGUUAUGUGUGUUGUAGGGAAACAAUGGGAGACACUGCGGUUUACCAUCGAGGUUUGUUCAAGCAGGGUCCUUUGGCUAAUAGUACAUUAUUGUGCAGUUACAGGAAUCAUUCUAAUAUUCAGGUUUCUUACAAUUUGGUCUUGCACAUGUAGGUCCUACUGUCAGAGGCUUAGACCCACUAUUCGACCCAUUUUGCAUAUGGGGAAAUGAGAUGUCCAUGAAUAUCAGUCAAGUCAAGAAACUCAAAAAGAUUGUUAGGAUGAAGAAACUUGCGACGAAUAACAGCAAGAUCUUUGUUUUCACAAUGAAGAAUACAUCAGUCGACUAUAGGAUGGUACCAACUCUUUUACCUUGUUUUUACCCCUUGCACCAUUUCAAAAUUUACAACAACGAUUUAUGCAUAGCUUUGUUUUCAGUACAUUUCAAAGCAGUUCACCGAUUAUUACCUCUCAAACCACCUGCAUGGUCAAGAGGUGAGGAAGGUAUUCAUUCAACACCCAUGGUACAAUAUUGAAGUCUUGCUGACGAAGGUUGGGCGGGCAAUUAUCCAUAGCCACUAGCCUAAAGUUGCAAGGACAUUCAACAUCACUGAAGGUUCAAUAUUUGCCUUCCGCUUCUGCAGUUUCCCAAAUGAGAUUCAUCUGUCUAUUUACCGUGUAUGAUGCUACUUUCCAAAGGUUUCUUAUGCUGCAUGUGAAACUUGGUGCUGUUGUGUAAUGGCAUAACUGAGUGCCGAAGCUAUCUGAUGUAAAUCGAUUAUGAAAUCCUGGUUGCUUUUACAUAGAUAUGAAAUAUCUGGCGUGUUUUAUAAGAAAUAUCAGUUUAAUUAGUACAUGUAUUAUCAAUAAUAGUCUAAUUACCCUCCUUAUUGGGGUUUCUAUUGCAAACGGUUGCUCAGACAGCACCGUGGGCGAUGAACUCAAACAACCCGCACGGUUUCUAGAAAGUAGGCGUGUUCGAUCAACUAACAAUCACACAUGGCUUUUGAUAGCGAACUGUUUGCGUUAGGCCACCUUGCACACACGUUUCCAGACAGAGAACUGUGUGGGAUGUACAUACCUACCGAAAUGAUUUUCUGGGAUUCGCCGUGUGGGAUGUACAUACCUACGGAAAUGAUUUCUAGGAUUCACCAUGUGGGAUGAACAUACCUAUGUGAAAUGAUUUCUGGGAUUCACCGUGUGGGGUGUACAUACCUACGGAAAUGAUUUCUGAAAUUCACCGUGUGGGAUGUACAUACCUACGGAAAUGAUUUCUGGAUUUCACCGUGUGGGAUGUACAUAUGUACAGAAAUGAUUGGGUUUCCAUGCCUCGCCAGAUCGCACAUGGACCCAGCCUGGGUCCCACAAGAGCCUAUCCCCGACGAUUUCUGGGUCGUGUGGGAAGGACCCGCCCUAUCGCCCACACUCACUUGGUGACGGUUCCAAAUGCCGUCGCAAAAAGGGGUUUUAAACCAUUUGUUUAGGACGUCGUUGUACCAGUGUGUGCUCCUAGCGUGAACUCGUGGUCGAUGAUGGCUCCAGCCGCCCCCGGUUAACCAGCCGCCAUGUGACAUCAGCUCAUCAAUCCAUCAUGGUCCGAUAUGCUAGGCACAUGCCUACGCUUCUCGCCGUCCAGGCCCCAAAGCUGAAUCAGAAGUUCACAACAGAAUUAAAUGUUUGCAUUUCCUCUUGUUUCCAAAACAAGCAGAGUUCUUUGUAUUAAGCAAGAUAGAUCAAUAGCAGACAUAAUUCUAACUGGAAAAAGUUGUACAUGGUCCUCAUGCCCACUGCAUGUAUCCAAUAAGUUUAACUAAUGGGAAACAUUUUAUGAGGAAACAAAGGCUUUUCCUAUCAACAUCUCAGCAAAUAUUCAACCAAUGCUCCAAAAAAAUGUCAAUGGCAGAUCUACAUUGCAUUUCAGGGUGAACAAAAAUCCAAAAUAGAUUAAGAACAUGCGUCUAUAUUACUAUUCAUAAAAAGUUUAUAAAUUGACAAAAAGUGGAACCAGCAUGAAAAGAAUAGGUGCAAGAUACAUCUCCAACGUAUCUAUAAUUUUUUAUUGUUACAUGCUAUAUUAUAUCCUGUUUUGGACAUUAUUCGACUUUAUUAUACACUUUUAUAUUAUUUUUGGGACUAACCUAUUAACCGGAGGCCCAGCCCAGAAUUGUUCUUUUUUGCCUAUUUUAGAGUUUCUAGAAAAGGAAUAUCAAAAGGAGUCCAAACGGAAUGAAACCUCCGGGAACGUGAUUUUCGGAACGAACAUCAUCCAGAGGACUUGGACCCUACGUCAAGAAAGCAACCAGGAGGGCAUGAGGUAGGAGGGCGUGCCUACCCCCCCCCCAGUCGCGCCCUCCACUCUCAUGGGGACCACGUUGCUCCACCGAUGUACUUAUUCCACCUAUAUAUACCUAUGUACCCCCAAACUACCAGAUACGGAGCCAAAACCCUAAUUCCACUGCCGCAACUUUCUGUAUCCGUGAGAUCCCAUCUUGGGGCCUUUUACAUCACGGAGGGCUUCUACAUCAACACCAUAGCCUCUCUGAUGAAGUGUGAGUAGUUUACUUCAGACCUUCGGGUCCAUAGUUAUUAGCUAGAUGGCUUCUUCUCUCUUUUUGGAUCUCAAUACAAAGUUCUCCCCCUCUCUUGUGGAGAUCUAUUCGUUGUAAUCUUCUUUUGCGGUGUGUUUGUUGAUAUGAUGAAUUGUGGGUUUAUGAUCAAGUUUAUCUAUGACCAAUAUUUGAAUCUUCUCCGAAUUCUUUUAUGUAUGAUUGGUUAUCUUUGCAAGUCUCUUUGAAUUAUCAGUUUGGUUUGGCCUACUAGAUUGAUCUUUCUUGCAAUGGGAGAAGUACUUAGCUUUGGGUUCAAUCUUGCGGUGUCCUUUCCCAGUGACAGUAGGGGCAGCAAGGCACGUAUUGUAUUGUUGCCAUCGAGGAUAACAAGAUGGGGUUUAUUUCAUAUUGCAUGAAUUUAUCCCUCUACAUCAUGUCAUCUUGCUUAAAGCGUUACUCUGUUCUUUUGAACUUAAAACUCUAGAUGCAUGCUGGAUAGAGGUCGAUGUGUGGAGUAAUAGUAGUAGAUGCAGGCAGGAGUCGGUAUACUUGUCUCAGAUGUGAUGCCUAUAUGCAUGAUCAUACCUAGAUAUUCUCAUAACUAAGCUCAAUUCUGUUAAUUGCUCAACAGUAAUUUGUUUACCCACAGUAAUAGUUAUGCUCUCGAGAGAAGCCACUAGUGAAACCUAUGGCCCCCGGGUCUAUUUUCCAUCAUAUUAAUCUUCCGUGAACAAGCUAUUUCCUUUUCCGUUUAUUUUGCUUUCUUUACUUUGCAUCUUUAUCCUAAAAAUACCAAAAAUAUUAUCUUAUCAUAUCUAUCAGAUCUCACUUUCGUAAGUGACCGUGAAGGGAUUGAUAACCCCUUUAUUGCGUUGGUUGCGAGGAUUUUAUUUGUUUGUGUAGGUGUGAGGGACACGUGCGUGGCCUCCUACUGGAUUGAUACCUUGGUUCUCAAAAACUAAGGGAAAUACUUACGCUACUUUGCUGCAUCACCCUUUCCUCUUCAAGGGAAACCAACGCAGUGCUCAAGAGGUAGCAGUGCAUAAUGCAUUUCAAUUUUUACAGAUGAGAUGUUGUAGGUGUGCUGACAGGCCAUCCUAUAGAGGAGAUGCCCGGUUCUACGGGUGACCUUCUUCCCGAGCUCUCGCAACUGCUCGAUCGAGUUCAGCAGGCGAUGCGAGGUGUCGCCCAGGCCCUGUGGCCAUCCGUCUCCAUGCCCGAAGGUCUUGGAGAGCUUGCGGAGAAGCUAAAAGGAGCACGGCGGUGCUUCCGAUUGUGGAAGAUAUCAGCCUGCUGUCAAGGCGCUAGGGAGGCCUGGGCCAUGGUGAAGACACGGUACACAAAGGCUGACCCCAACCACAUGGCCGAGGUCGGUCCUAUAGGGCCCGAUGGGAAGGAGAUCCCUGUAAGAUUAGUAUACGGCCAAGUAGAGUUGGCCCCAAAGUAUUCCCAGCAGGACUGUAAAUUAGACAACCUAUUAGAUGGUAUUGAAGAGGAAUACGAUCAGUCAAAAUGACUAUGUAAUUUAGUUGACAUUUAUAAUGCCUUCUAGCCGGAUUGUAGACCAUUUGUCAUGGCCGACCUUUUCGCUUCAGCUUCGGGACCUGACGGUCCGGAGUGUGUCCGAAUUCCCAUGCGGUUAUAUAGGAACCGGUGAAUGCAUGGAGACCAGUCGUAGGGGUCAUUAGUGCGUGAACAGACAAGUGCCCGACUAGUUAUGUUAUAUUACAUGUUAGUAAGAAACAUCUUCCAGGGAGAAUAGUUCCGUUAGGGGUUCCUUUCCCUGGGAGGCAUGUUCUAAGGUGCAUGUCCAUGCUGCGAAAAGAAGCGCAGGAAAAACAUCUGGGGGCGUAUAGAUAAAAAUAAAAAAGAUCAUCUUUAGUUCACCGACCGAAUAUUCCCUUAAGAACGCUAGCUUUCGGCUUCACCCAGUCUGUGGUACACGUCCGGCUGACCCGGCAGUAACAAUCGCAGAGGUGCUCCCUUUACCACCUAGCCGAACAAUCAGGAAUGUAGGGGUAAGCACAGGAGCCAGGCAAUCCAGCUUGGCCAAAACUUAAGUCAUAUCGAUGCAUAUAAUGGUGAAUAAAAGGUACAUGCGGAAGUGUGACGCAUGUGUUGGGCAUGAAGCCCGUAUGAAUAAGCUUCUGUUUAAAGAAGCCCCCUGGUUUAAUGAGCGCGGAUGGCGCGUCACUUUAUGAGCCUUUAAGGGCUAUAAGAGAGAGAGAGAGAGAGAGAGAGAGAAGAAGAAUAAGAGAAAUGCAAGACAGAAAAUAUAUUAAAAAUGGACAGAGGAAGGAGACGAACAUAGAGUCCGGCGCUAGGCAUAGAAUCUUCGGAGACGGGCUGCAUUCCAUGGGUUCGGCUCGAGUCGGUUAUCCGAUGCAUCUCACGGGCGGUACGUUCCACCAGUCAGGACUUGGUCAAUUAUGAAGGGACGUUCCCACUUGGGCUUGAGUUUGUCCUUUUUCUUGUCCGGUAGUCGUAGAACUAAUUCGCCAACGUUGUAAUUUUUGGCCCGUACUUCUCUGCUUUGGUAUCUUCGAGCCUGUUGUUGAUAGAAUGCGGAACAGGCUUUUGCCACGUCACGCAACUCCUCCAAUGCAUCUAAGCUGUCCUGCCGAUCGAGUUCGGCUUCUCUUUCUUCGUACAUGCGCACUCGAGGUGAGUCAUGAAUUAUGUCACAGGGCAAAACUGCCUCUGCGCCGUACACCAUAAAGAAUGGUGUGUAUCCAAUGAUGCGAUUCGGCGUGGUCCGCAGCCCCCAAAGUACGGAGUCAAGCUCCUCUACCCAGUGCGUGUUAGAUUCCUUGAGGGACCGCACUAAUCUGGGUUUAAUGCCGCUCAUGAUAAGACCAUUUGCAUGUUCGACCUGGCCGUUAGUUUGUGGGUGAUAGACAGAAGCAUAGUCGAGCUUGAUGCCCAUGUUUUUGCACCAGAGUUUUACCUCGUUAGCUGUGAAGUUCGUGCCGUUAUCAGUGAUGAUGCUGUGGGGAAUGCCGUAAUGGUGUACGACCCCGGAUAUAAAGUCUAUCACCGGUCUGGAUUCGGCCGUCUUAACAGGCUUGGCUUCUAUCCAUUUGGUGAAUUUAUCCACCAUGACCAGUAAGUAUUUUUGCUUGUGGGUGCCGCCUUUAAGGGGUCCAACCAUGUCAAGCCCCCAGACCGCGAAGGGCCAAGUAAUGGGGAUAGUUCGGAGGGCGGUGGGUGGCAUAUGGCUUUGGCUUGCAAAGAGCUGGCAACCGGUGCAUCGUUGGACUAAGUCCUGAGCGUCUGCCCGGGCCGUCGGCCAAUAAAAGCCUCUACGGAAGGCCUUACUUACAAGGAAUCGAGCUGCAGCGUGAUGACCGCCCAGUCCGGCAUGAAUUUCAGCCAGGAGGUUCUGCCCCUCCUCUUCGGAGAUGCACCUUUGAAGGACUCUGGUAGUGCUUUUCUUAUAAAGCUCUCCCUCAUGGACUCUGUAGGCUUUGGAUCGCCGCACUAUGCAGCGUGCCUCAUUUUGGUCCUCGGGGAGUUCCUGCCUAGUGAGGUAGGCGAGGAAUGGUUCUGUCCACGGGGCGAUGACAGCCAUUAUUACGUGGGCUGAAGGUGUUGUUUCAUUGGCAGAGCCUCCGAUUGUGUCAGAAUGUUCAGUGUCGGGCAGUGCGGUUGGGUCCGGGGUGUUAUUGUUCGGCUCCCCUUCCCAUACUACGGAUGGCUUGAACAACCUUUCCAAGAAGAUUUUGGGGGGGACUACAUCGCGUUCUGCGCCGAUGCGUGCCAGGACAUCUGCCAUCUGAUUAUUUUCCCGGGCUAUAUGGUGAAAUUCAAGCCCCUCGAACCGAGCUGACAUUUUUAGGACGGCGUUGUGGUAAGCUGCCAUUUUUGGAUCCUUGGCAUCGAAGUCUCCAUUUAUUUGGGAUAUUGCGAGGUUCGAGUCCCCACGCACCUCUAGGCGUUGAAUGCCCAUGGAUACUGCCAUCCGGAGACCAUGUAAAAGGGCCUCAUAUUCGGCUGCGUUGUUGGAGUCCAUGUACAUAAUCUGGAGUACGUAUUGAACUGUGUCUCCUAUGGGGGACGUCAAAACGACGCCAGCCCCCAGUCCGGCCAACAUCUUGGAGCCGUCGAAAUGCAUGAUCCAAUUUGAAUAUGUGCCAUACUGUUUAGGGAGUUCGGCCUCCGUCCAUUCUGCGACGAAGUCGGCCAAGCCUUGCGACUUGAGGGCUUGUCGUGGCUUAUAAGUUAUGUCGAACGGGAGGAGCUCAAUGGCCCAUUUUGCAAUCCGGCCCGUUGCAUCACGGUUGUUUAUAAUAUCGUUAAGUGGUACUUUCGAGGCUACUAUUAUUGAACACUCUUGAAAGUAGUGUCGUAGCUUCCGGGAUGCCAUGAAUACCGCGUACGCGAUCUUUUGAUAAUGCGGGUACCGUGAUUUGCAAGGAGUGAGGACAGUGGACACAUAAUAGACCGGCUUUUGAAGGGGGAAUCUGUGUCCGUCCGCUUCUCGUUCGACGACGAGCACUGCGCUUACAACCUGAUGUAUUGCUGCAAUGUAUAAUAGCAUUGGUUCGCCAAUAUUUGGUGCGGCCAGGACUGGGUUUGUUGCAAGUAUGGCUUUUAUCUCCUCGAGUCCGGCCGUGGCUGCAUCCGUCCAUUCGAAGUGUUCGGUGCGCCGAAGGAGGUGGUAAAGGGGUAGGGCCUUUUCUCCCAAGCGGGAGAUAAAGCGGCUUAGAGCCGCCACGCAUCGGUUAACUUUUGUAUUUGUUUGAGGUCCUUUGGGAUAUCCAGUUGCGACAGAGCUUGGAUCUUGGCUGGGUUUGCUUCGAUUCCUCUACCGGAUACAAUGAAGCCCAAUAGCUUUCCGGCUGGAACGCUGAAAACGCAUUUUUCCGGGUUGAGCUUGAUGUCGAAUGUUCGGAGGUUAUCAAAUGUGACCAUCAAGUCAUCUACUAGAGAUUUGACAUGUCUUGUUUUGACGACCACAUCAUCUACAUAUGCCUCCACUGUUUUGCCGAUCUGGCUUGCCAGACAUGUCUGAAUCAUGCGCUGAUAUGUUGCGCCGGUGUUUCUGAGCCCGAAGGGCAUUGUGUUGAAACAGAAUGGGUCGUAUGGUGUGAUAAAUGCCGUUGCGGAUUGGUCAGAUUCUGCCAUCUUGAUUUGAUGGUAACCGGAAUAUGCGUCGAGGAAACACAACAAAUCAUGUCCUGCGGUAGCGUCAAUAAUUUGAUCGAUGUGGGGGAGGGGGAAGGGGUCCUUUGGGCAAGCCUUGUUAAGGUCUUUAAAAUCAACGUACAGGCACCAGGAUUUGUCCUUCUUUGGUACCAUCACCAGGUUUGCUAGCCAGUCCGGAUGUUUUAUAUCUCUGAUGAAUCCGGGCUCCAAUAGCUUUGCUAGCUCCUCUCCCAUAGCCUGUCUCUUAGGUUCAGAAAAAUGCGGAAGAGCCUGUUUGACAGGUUUGAAUCCUGUUUGGAUAUUUAAGCUGUGCUCGGCCAGCCUGCGUGGGAUUCCUGGCAUGUAUGAAGGGUGCCAGGCGAAAAUGUCCCAGUUUUCUCGUAGGAACUCUCGUAGUGCAGCGUCUACAUCAGGGUUUAACUGUGCCCCGAUGGAAGCUGUUUUAUUUGGGUCCGUUGGAUGGACUUGGAAUUUGACUAUUUCGUCCACCGAUUUAAAGGAUGUGGACUUGGAUCUUUUGUCGAGUACCACAUCAUCCCUAUUCACCGUAGAGCAUAGCGCAGUCAGUUCCUCAGCCGCUAGGGCUUCGGAUAGUGCCUCGAGGGCCAGUGCGGCUGUCUUGUUUUCGGCGCGGAGUGCUAUGUCCGGAUCACUAGCGAGAGUGAUGAUCCCAUUGGGCCCGGUCAUUUUGAGAUUCAUGUACCCGUAAUGGGGUAUUGCUUGGAAGAUUGUAAAUGAUUCCCGCCCUAGCAGAGCGUGAUAAACGCAGCUGAACGGAGCCACAUGGAACGUGAUCUCUUCGGACCUGUAAUUAUCUGGCAUGCCGAACACCACAUCUAGUGUGAUUUUUCCUGUACAGAGCGCUUCCCGACUGGGGAUUAUUCCUCUAAAGGUUGUGCUGCUUCGCUCAAUGCGGUUCCAGUCUAUUUCCAUUUUUUGAAGGGUUUCCUCGUAAAUGAGGUUCAAUCCGCUGCCGCCGUCCAUGAGUACCUUGGUAAGACGAAAGCCGUCCACUAUUGGGCUGAGGACCAAUGCGGCUGGUGCUCGGGCUGUUCGGAAUUUAGGUUCAUCACUGGCGUUAAAGGUAAUAGCCGUGUCACUCCAUGGGUUUAUUGUUGCUUCUUGGUAGACUUCGUCAAGGCCGCGGAGUGUCCUUUUUUUCUUAUUAUUUGAUGCGAAAGUCUCGAAGACUGUUAAUACCGUAUGGUUGUCUCUGGGGUGGCUUUCUGUGGCCACCGGAAUUAGGAGGUUUUCGCCAAUUUUGGCCACCUGCCGGAGUAUCCAACAUGCUCUAAGGCUGUGAGUUGGUGUGGCGUCCUCUGUACUGUGAAUUUUACAGGGUCCGUUAAGCCAUCCUUCCAGUACGGUUCCAUGCCCUAUAGAGGGUUUUUGCUUUUUGGUGUUUGACCUGGGUGUCUGGUUAUGCUACACCCUUUUAUUUCAGACUGGGUUUGUAUUUAGGGCCGGAUUGUCCCAAAAUUUUAUUUUGGUUUUCCAGGCACUUUCCAUCGCAUAAUACUUUUGUACAAUGGACGCGAAGUCAGCGAAGCGUGUGAUAUCACGGCGACUUAUGGCGUUGAGUAUUCCCUUGUCCGUGCAAUUAUUGCAGAAGAUUAAGAUUGCGUCUUCCUCGCGGAAGUCCCUUAGCCUGUUCUUAACCAGGAGGAAUCUAGCCCAGUAAUGAUGUACUAUUUCGUCAGGCUCUUGCCUGAUUUUGGAUAGAUCGCUUAUGUUGGGGUGGGUGGGUGGAGUUAAAUCCGAAGCCUCACCCCGUUUGAGGCUCAGAGGCCGAGGAAUUUCUGAACUCGAAAAUUUGGAUCCCUAGGUGUUGUCCAUUGAAUCCAGCCCGUCGCCUGACUCUAAGUUCAGGUCUUGAGUGAUAUCCUCCCCUCCACGGGUAUCCGGCUUGGAGGGAUCGGGAAUCCGGACGUAGCGAGUCCUUAAGAUAGACGAAGGGUCGCCGCACUGUCCCUCCACCUCGACAACGUGAUGGGUGACUUGGGGAGAGUUAAUCUCUCUCAGAUCGGUUUUAGGCCCAAUCUGGUCAUAAUCCGUAGCGACUCCCAGGGCAGCGAAGCGAUCCAAGAGCUCAUUUAUAGAAGAAAGCUCCAUUGGAUCUAACUGCUCGGCGAGUUCCGAAAUGACAUGAAGAUUAUUUUCGAUGGCUCGAGAGGUCAUCGUCGGCGCAAAAUCCGAACAGGCGAUCAUAAGAAAACCACCUAGCCGGAGGGUUUGGCCGACAGCCAAAGCUCCCUUAGCAACGGUGCCGUCUUUAAAGACGGGGCGAGGCAUCCUUCCUAAUGGCGACGACACAGAGGAACUCUCAAUGAAAGCACCAAUGUCGGUGUCAAAACCGGCGGAUCUCGGGUAGGGGGUCCUGAACUGUGCGUCUAGGUCAGAUGGUAACAGGAGGCAAGGGACACGAAGUUUUACCCAGGUUCGGGCCCUCUCGAUGGAGGUAAAACCCUACGUCCAGCUUGAUUAAUAUUGAUGAUAUGGGUAGUACAAGAGUAGAUCUACCACGAGAUCAGAGAGGCUAAACCCUAGAAGCUAGCCUAUGGUAUGAUUGUUGAUGUGUAUGUUGUCCUGCGGACUAAAACCCUCUGGUUUAUAUAGACACCGGAUAGGGUUAGGUUUACAUAGAGUCGGUUACAAUGGUAGGAGAUCUAAAUAUCCGUAUCGCCAAGCUUGCCUUCCACGCCAAGGAAAGUCCCUUCCGGACACGGGACGAAGUCUUCAAUCUUGUAUCUUCAUAGUCCUGGAGUCCGGCUGAAGGUAUAGUCCGGCCAUCCGGACACCCCCUAAUCCAGGACUCCCUCAGGCCCCAACAGCCUGCGGCCCCGCUUGAUGCGUGGCGAUUGAUUGGACGUGGGUGGCCCUGCUUCCCCAUGCAGCCUUGUUAUCCAGCUGGCUAGGCGGCCACGGCGUCCCACACAGUUAUUACCCCAUUGCUGGUAACGCGCUCCCCGACUCCUCCGCUUCUUCGAAGCUCAUCUUCCUCUCCCAAUCCGACCUGAGCUCGGUCCUCUCCAUCACCAUGGCGCCGAACCGAACGGAGAAAGGGAAGAAGCCCCUGUCCUCAUCCAGCCAGCCUCUGGCCGUUGAGCCCGCCGUCGACCGAUCGCGGGUGCUCAAUCAGGAGGCCAUGGACAAAGUCCGCCCUGCACUCACCACUAGCUUCAACGAAUGGGGAGGGAUGAUGGCCUGGCUUGCGUCCCGAGCUUCUAUCGAUAGAACGGCCACCGAGGUCCAAUUCUUCAUUGAUGCCCUAUGGGCCGGCUUGGUCCCUCCCUUCUCCGCCUUCUUCAACGUCGUGCUUUCCCACUACCAGAUUCAUAUGCUGCACCUAGAUCCCCAAUCUGUCGCUCUUCUUGCCGUCUUUUCCUUUGUCUGCGAGGCCAUGGUGGGCAUCGCCCCCUCCGUAGCCCUUCUGCGCCAUUUCUUCUCGCUGCACCUGACCGACCCCAGGCAAUGCUCGGGGUGCCUGAGCUUCCAGGCCGUGGCAGCGACGGCCGGCUCGGGGAUUGACUUUGAACUCCCACCAUCUGCGAGCGGGUUCCAGACGCAAUGGUUGUAUGUGCACGUCGUAGCGCUCAAUCCUUUGCUCUUGCCUCCGUCGGCGCCAGCCGUCCCCAGCUCCGAUUGGGCUCAUCAGAAGCUUACGAUCCCCUUCCUCGCCUUUGUCUGGCUCUGGUUGAAGAGGUUGAAAGACCUUGGCUUGACCGCGCCCAUGGUGAUGAAGUAUUUCCUCCAACGCCGCGUCGCCCCACUCCGGUGCCAUUCCUAGCUGAUGUGGGACCUGUCAGUCGGCCAGGAUCGCAUGAGGCUUCAGGAGUCAGGGCUUCCACUAGAGGCACGAAGAAUGAUGCUCGAGGUCCUGGCCGGCGACCCCUCGCCAGCCGAUAUGCCACUGGAGGGAUGUGUCUUGUACUGGUGCUCAAACAAGGUGGAGUUCGCGGGGCAGAUGCCCCCCUUUGACGAAUGGGGGCUGCGUUCGGUCGACAUUGAGGGGUCCCGCGAGAACCCCGUCACCGUGGUUCCCCUCCUUGUCGCCGGCGCCGAACUUGCCCCAAGAGUGGACGCAGGGGGCAAGCACCAUUGGAGGCCGGAGGCGCGGGUGCCGAGGUGUCGACACCGCCCGUGGCUCCUAUGGUGCCAUCUUGGGGAGCCCAUGACACUCGCUCUGGGGUGGCAGUUGAGGGGGUGACGCAAUCCACUGCUCCUAAGGUCGAAGCUCCCAAGGCCUCAGGAGGUCAUCGCGAGGCGAAACACGAUGGCUCUCCCCAUCUGGGCGCUACUGAGGUCGCCUCCUCGGGCGCUUCACCAGCCACGCCCUACGCUGGUCGCCACAUCCAACACUUCGGCCAGCUCCGUGUAGACUUCGAUGUGGUCCGCAAAAGGAAGGGGUCCCCAAGCUGCAGCAGCGGCGCCUUCCGGGCAUUGAAACAGAGGAAGUACAUUGCCAUAGAUGAGUAAGUACCUUAUCUUUGUAAUUCCUCAAGUGUCGCUUCCCUUCCUGAUGGUGGCUCUUCAGGAUCCCAUCUACUAAGGCCGCGAAGCCCCCUGAGAAGCAACCUCCUCCUGCCUCAAAUCUCCCGCUGGCCUUGAGCGUCCCAAGCCAGCAUGCUGCCCCCGGCGCGAGGUCAGCCGGUGAGGCAGACACGCUAGCUUGGCGCCUCGAGCCCGCGCUCCUGCCUUCUCUUCUUCGUGGCCUCUCCAGGGGUGUGACGAGCGUGCCAAGGGCUCCUCCUCUGGUUGUAGACGGCGGCUGGAUGACUUCAGUCUUGGUUUCUUCUUCGAGUAGCGAGCCUCAACUCAACCGGGUUCCCACCGAAGCCCAGUCGGCGACCGAGGGGGCGGCAGCCCCCAGCCCCCUGAGGAAGGGGAGCGAGUAGCUUCGGAUCCCGUCAGCAACCACCGCUGUGGAGGACGGAAUCGGCCGCGCGCUCAAGUUUGCACACGAACGGAGUGUCAUCCGCCACGAGCUCUUUUGGGAGGCGAUGGGUGCAAUGAUCCGGCUUGGUGAAGAACUCAUGGAUGUACACGCGAGCCUCGAGGCCGAGGGUCUUCGGCUGAUGGAGGAGCGGUAUAAGCUGAAGGUGGCCAUAAACCUCGGGCGCCACCAGCGCGAGCUUGAUAAUGCGAAGGCCGAGGCAUCUCUUGCGACCUCGUGUGAUGCCUGCGCUUGAGCCUUGGAAGAAGCCCAGGAAGCCAAUCGCCACCGCGAGAUCCCAGAGAAAUGUGUGUGGGAGCUCCAAGCCUGGAGUGCCUCCUUGGAGAAGCAGGUGGAGGCGAGCAAGGCCGCCCUAGUGUCGAUGAAGGGGGCGCAUGCCGAGGAGGAAGAGAUCCUGAAGCGCGAGGAAGCGCUGGUGCUAGAAGCUAUGGAGCGCAGCCUUGAGCUUGAGCGGUUGGAGACGAGGGAGCGCCAAAUCUCCCAGGCGGAGGAUGUUGUCGGCGCGUGCGAGUCCAAGGCCCAGGAGGAGGCCGAUCAUCGGCUGGGCGAGGCUCGCGUGGAUCUUGUGGGCAGGUACGACCUGAAGCUAAAGCUCGUGGAAGCCGAAGCUGUGGGCAGGACUACUGCCCUCAAGUCAGGUUUGGCUAAGGCGGGACAGUGCCGAGCUGCUUUCUCUUCAACAGUAGGUCGCUAGCCGAGUCGUUCGCGUAGCAGAGCAGGGAGGAAGCGCUCCGGCGGAGGAUACUGGAGCGCGAGCACGCCCAUGCUCCAAAGCCGCAGGAUUAGAGCCAACGCGGCGCUGGGUGCCAUCUGCGAUGAAGAUGCCCCUCAUCCCCACUUGAACGACUACGCCAGUCACCCCCUCUUCUUCACCGACGUGGUUAAAUGCCUGGAGAAUCGAUCCGAGAGGGCUCAUGAGCUUGUUGAAGAGAGGAUCUGUGGCCUGCUCAGGCGCGCUUUCUCCCGCGUCUUCAGCCACCUCCAGAACACCUACCCCAACUUCGAUUUUGACGCCACCAUUGCCCCUAUGCCUGAGGCCAUCCGGGGCGACCUGGCACACUGGGUAGAAGACAAUGUGGAUGCUCUAGUCAGGGCCUUCUCCUCCGAGGUCGACGCGGUGGUGGUCGUCGCGGAUGAAGGUGACAUGGUUGACGAUGGUUUGGGAGACGCCGGCAAUGGUGAUGUUGAUGCCGGACAUGAUGACAGUGAUGCCAGCGAUGGUUACGGCGACGCCAGCGACGCGUCUGAGGGUGACCCGGAGGACGCGGUGAGCGAUAUGUCUGAUUUGGACCGUGCUUCCUUGUCAUUGACCAUGCAUGUGAAAGCUCGGGCACGGCCCUGAAAGUUGUAAGAGCAUUUUGGGAGCGGGAGCCCCUCAAGUAAACAGAUUACUGCCUCUAUUCCUUAGGCCGAGGUGGAGACGUGUUUUUAUGAGCUCGCGAGUCUCGCCGCGAGCUUACUGCUGCAGUUUACCUUAGUCAGGGCCAGUUCCCGACCGACUCGUGAGGUCGUGAGCUUCCGAGGGGCCUGCCGAUCCAUCCAAGAGGCCCUCGCGAGAAGCAAGAGCCAGCCAUGGAAGGACGUGCGCGCGACACCUAGCCCCCACUCGCGAGGGUCUCGUGAGGGGGGAGGCAGUAGGUGCGAACUCCGAAUCAAGGCAAGGAACCGGAUUGCAAGAAAUCACACNNNNNNNNNNNNNNNNNNNNNNNNNNNNNNNNNNNNNNNNNNNNNNNNNNNNNNNNNNNNNNNNNNNNNNNNNNNNNNNNNNNNNNNNNNNNNNNNNNNNNNNNNNNNNNNNNNNNNNNNNNNNNNNNNNNNNNNNNNNNNNNNNNNNNNNNNNNNNNNNNNNNNNNNNNNNNNNNNNNNNNNNNNNNNNNNNNNNNNNNNNNNNNNNNNNNNNNNNNNNNGGCUACAGAAAAGAGAUUAAAAGCAAAUGCAUGCGUCCGGUGCCUAGUCUAGUCUUCUUGUCUUCUCACCAGCGCGGACCUAAGUGCUGCCACUACGACGUGGGAGGGAGCCCCCGAGGCCCGAGGGUGGCACUUCUGAGACUCCCGGGCAUGUACAGCCCCACUCAUUAUUAUAUGAGAGUGUCACGGUCGAAGAUCUUCACAGGCGCGAGCCUUACUUCAUAUCGCCGGAUGAGGGCCCCGCCUUGCGCCACCCUCGACCACCAUUGGUGCGUCUGAAAACCAGGACGAAGCCAAGGGGCAAAGGGGACGCCAGUAGCGCCCUCAGCGACCAUGAGUCCUCUGUCAGGGGAAGGCUCACCAGCACCUCCCCAGCAGAGGGCCUACCUCCGGGGGAUGCCCUUCUCUGCGUGAUGCGGGGAGGGACCUUGCUCCUGGCUCCUUCCUUAGAGCCCACAGUGCGCUCCUCCUAGUGGAAGGGAGGCCGCUGAGCUAGGGCCACCAUCCGCCGCUGUGACCUGAUCCUCCUGCGACCCAUGGUUAGCGUAAGCUUGCUCCUAAGAGAUUAGUGGUACCCUAUAGCUGUUGUCACCGUCUUGGUUGGCAAGGCUCCCGGGGGGCUCCUAGAAGGCCUCAGCUUCUAGCGCCUCCUCCUCCCAGCCUGGCUCGAGGAAUGAGCCAGGGUCGUCUUCCAGCGCAUACUCCUGGUCCAUCAUGCAGGGCACGUAGGCCUCCGAGGCCGUCACCUCGAAGACCUCGCCGAAGUGCCCCAAGCUCCACAUUGCCAGGCCUAGCGUGCUGCCCUAAGGAUGGUAGGGCGGCACUUCGCUGGGGCCGCGGGUGGCAACGCUUGUGCCCGCGCUCAUCGGAGGUGGUGUGGGCGCGAUUGGGCGUCUGGUGCUGCUAGUCGCGCCGGUGUCGAUGAAACCUCCUGGCCCGCCCAGGGGCACGCGGGCACGGCGAGCCCCACCAUGCGAUCAGGCCAUGGCCUGAGGCGUAAGCAGGGAGCAGAAGGGCGGUGCUCCUAAGGCUGUGGCGUCCAGUAGCUAGGGGACGCGCUCCAGCAAUGCAUCCCGGCCGCACUCCAUCAGCCGACAUCAUAGAAGUUCCCGAGCCACCGUGAGUGCUACCCUCAUGUUUGAUUGUUCACGUCGGGUGUGUGGCACCGUGGCCGUAGCGUAGCUUGAGGCCCUUGCGGCAGCCCGCACUUGUCGUGGAGUAACGGUGGAUGGCGUCUGACCGUGCCGCCCGCACCCCGCAGCGUUUGGCGGUGAACGUGCCGCCUGGGGCGCACGGUUGAGGUCUUCUUGGGCGGAUGGCGCUGCCCGGGUCGGCCAAGCUGCCUAGCAGUCGGUGUUGGUCCUCGGGUCACCGGACAUCGGAACACGGAGUGUAGGUGGAUCAACUGGCGGAAGAGAAGCUCCGACGCACCCCUACCUGGAGCGCCAAAUAUCAGAUUUUGGGUUGUGGCAAAACCCUUGAGGAUCGAACACUGGGGUGCGCACGAAGAUCUCUCCCCCCUCUAGCUCGCACACAUCAUGAUCUCACGGCCUAGCUCAAUGAACAAAAAGAACAAGAGACACAAGAGUUUAUACUGGUUUGGGCCACCGAUGUGGUGUAAUACCCUACUCCCGUGUGGUGUGGUGGAUUGCCUCUUGGGCUGAGGAUGAACAGUUACAAGGGAAGAACAGCCUCCAGAGGACAGGUGUUCUUGUGCUCGGCGAACUUGUGUGGUUGAGGAUGAACUGAAUCCUCUCCCUGUCUCCCUAUGGAUCCGUCGCCCCCUACUGUGGUGACUACUCCUAUUUAUAGAGGCCCUGGUCCUCUUCCCAAAUAUUGAGCGGGAAGGGAUCCCACAAUGGCCAAAUUCGAAGGGAGACAACUAGUACAAAUUAUCCUGACAAAAGUAGUCUUCGACUGCCAUAGGCUCUGGUGGUGACGCCGUCUUGGGCUCCACGGUGACCUCUGUCCUGCUGUCCUGUUGGUUUUGGUCUCGUUGCACUGAUAUGGAAACCUUUGCGUGAUGCCUCGGCACUCCUCGCAUGCGCUUGCCUCUUUGGCACCAAAGAGGAAACGAGGACACUAUGCACGCUGGUGCCCGCCUGGCUCCAGUCGUCAUGGCUUGCGUCACAGAAACCUCGCGAGGUGUGCCUUGCCUUGAUCUCUGCGCCCCUCAUGAGCCAGCUUGGUGAGGCUGCGCUCGAAGAUGUCUUGUGUCGUCCGCCUCACGAGGCUUGUCCCCUCGCGAGGGUCUUAAAUGUUUGCUGGUGAAGGUGGGAUGUAUAGGGCCGUCGGUGGAGCCGCGUUGUGGGCCGCAUGCAAGCAAGUCUGGGGACCCCCGUUCCCAGAAUGCCGCAAGAUUCAGAAGGAGAAGACCACUCCUAUUUACCCCCUGAGGUCUUCGCUCUAACUUGGCAUGCUGAUGUUGGUAAUAUCAUGCAUAUGGUGCCUUGCAUUGCUUGCUUUAUACAUCAAAUAUGUCAUCUGCUUAUUUUAGACAUGCUUUGUGUGAAUGCCAUCUGUUUAGUUUCUUUAUCGUAUAUGUGAAUCAUGCAAUGCCAUCUUAUUUAGCCAGGCAUCAUAUAUGUGAAUUUUGCAAUGCCACCCUGGUUAGCCAGUCAUCUUAUAUAUGAAUUAUAUCAUGCCUUCAUUUUUUAUUACGUGUUAAAUUUGUCAACAAUUUUAGUACAUUCAGUUACUCUUCCUGUGCAUCAGCCAUUCGGCACAGUCAUGGAAAAAUCUGGAGUGGAAACAAGGUCUUCAGAGCAGACAAUGUUGUCUCACGAAGCGCAUGUCUUGCUGGUUACGGAUAGCUCCUCAGAGGAGGAUUCAGAGACAGAUGACCAAUCCUAUCCCCCCCCCCCCGAGGUGCAUGCUAUAACUUGGCAGGGUUAUGUUGCCCAUAUCGUGCAUAUGCUAUCUUGCAUUGCUAUGUCAUUUGCUUAGUUUAGACAUGCUUUGUGUGAAUGCCACCUGUUUAGUGUCUAAUUACCAUAUAUGUGAAUUAUGCAAUGCAUCUUGUUGCAAGACAUCAUAUAUGUGAAUUAUGCAAUGCUAUCUUGUGGCAAGGCAUUAUACAUGUGAAUUACGCAAUGCCAUGUUGUUUUAGCCAAGCGUCAUAUAUGUGAAUUAUAUCAUGCCGUCCUUUUUUGUAUUUCUCGUUGCAUUUGCCGACAAUGUUUGUAUAUUCAACUACUCUUCCUGUGCAUCAUCCAUUUGAAUUGGUGAUGGAGAAAUCUGGAGUGAAAACAAGGUCUUCAGAGCAGACAAUGCUACGUGUUAAAGCAGAUAUCUUGCUAGUUAUAGAUAGCUCUUCAGAGGGGGAUUCAGAGGCAGAUGACUAGUCCGAUUAUCCCUCUGAGGUGUAUGCUCAAACUUGGCAGGGUUAUAUUACUCAUAUCAUGCUUAUGUUGUACUGCAAUGCUUAGUUUUUACAUCAUAUACACAAUAUUGAAUGUCAUCUCCUUAGUUGACACAUCAUAUAUGUGAUUUCCCUAUGCUCACUUGCUUAGUAUAUAAACCAUAUAUUUGAAUUAUAUCAUGCCAUGAUGUUUACAUAGACAACAUGUAUCUGAAUUAUGGCAUGCCAACCCAUUUUCUAAAGACAUAAUAUAGUUAUAUCAUGUCAUCCUAUUUACAUAGUCAUCAUAUUUUGAAUUAUGUCAUUCUAUCCGUGAAUUAUAUCAUGGCAUCAUGUUUCCAUCGAUGGCAUGUUUGUGAUUUAUGGCAUGCCAACCACUUUAAUAGACACAUCCUAUAGUUACAUCAUGUCAUCCUGUUUACAUAGUCAUCAUAUUUUGAAGUAUGUCAUUCUAUCAUGUUUAGUUAGCCAUCAUACAUGUGAAAUUGUGUCAUGCUAUCCUGUUUAAUUAGCCAUCAUAUAUGUGAAAUUAUGUCCUGCUAUUCUGUUUGGUUAGACAACAUAAAUGUGAAUUAUUUUAUGCCCAGUUUUCUUCCCUUCUCUCCAUUGCACCUGCCUAUCUUACAGUGUCUGUACAUUCAAUUACUUUUCUUGUUUAUCAACCAUUUCAAUUGGAGGGGGUGAUGGCAGUAUCUGUGGGAGUAAAAACACAGUCUUCAGAAAAGAUCAUGCUACCUGUUGAUGCAGAUAGAACCAUAGUUGUACUUUCCCAAGAACCAGCCCCACCACACAUAACCCAGACUCAUGCAGAUUGUACCCCUAUCCAGUUGGACAGAGAACCAGUGUAUAUGAUAUGCGGCUUUCUAACCCCAGCAGAUAGUAACCCAGUGUAUAUGAUAGAGAACUAGCUACACCCCUUCUAACCCCAACCCCAGCAGAUAGUAACCCAGUUCCAGUUGACACAGCACCGUCUCCACCACAGAGCACCCAAACACGAGCAGUUAGUAAGGCAACUGCAGCACCCAAAGCACGAGGACCACCACUCCAAACCCCAAGUCAACUCUUAAAGCAAAAGAAGAAUUGUUCUCAGGUCUGGUGCCUUAGCCAUGGUUCAUACUACUUUGCUCUUGCAUCACUGUAUUUACACAUACCAACUUAUUUCAGAUUUGAAGGAUGCAAUUGAAACUCCAAUGGCGGAACAGGUAUGUUUUAAACCUGUUUAUUUAACGUGUUUGCUAUUGUAACUUGCUCUAUGUUGAUUUCAGUUUCAGUUGAAUAAACAGUUAUGUCAUCAUGCCAUGCACAUUACAAGUGUUGUUAUUGUUGUGUAGUUUCCCACACUUAUACUCUGUCUAUGCUGCUUUGUCUUAAACAGAUAUGAUUCGAAUUAUCUCUAUCUUGAUUUGACAACAUAUACUAGAAUGAUAUAGGCCGUACAGUGACCAUACUACAUAUAUAUAUGUUUGUUUCAUGUUGUUAUCUUGUCCACCUUACUGAUGAACUGGUUUACCAAAAUGAGUUUCAUAUAGAACAUGGUAAACAUGUGAUGUCUUUGUCUGUUUCUCUUUUAGAAUGCGGAUAAAAUGUGGGAGAAGAGUACCCCGUUAUGCAAUGGUAAAGGAAGUAAUGCAGGUAAGGUUCAAGAUAGUGUGACAUCCCUGUUGGUCUCCAAGAAAGCUGAUAAAAACUAUAUUGAAGACACUGAGACAACCCCAAAGUCCUGUCUUGAUGUAGUGUUCGAGUUACUGGCUACUACUACUGGCACCAGCUCUUCAAACUCUCUGCCUGGAUCAGUUCGGCUUCUUGAGUCUCAACUUCAGGUUGAAAGACAUCGAUAAGAUGUUAUGCGACAGGAAGCCGAAGGACUCAGAAGUCCCUGCAGAAUUCAGAUGCAUACUUUCUGGUGCAACAGUAAGUGCUGGAGGAUUUAAGCGCCAAACAAGAGAAAGUUAAUAAGCUUUCUAAGAAUCUUGCCAGCAUUAUGGGUACCUAGGAUAUUGUUUCUUGAGCUCUUCUGAAGUGGUUUCAGUUCAAUACUUGUUUUGCUGCGGUGUUUAAUUGCACUGGUCGCCAACUUUGAUAACCAGUGUAUAUGAUAUGCGGCUUUGUUCCCUAUAUUUGCACUGGUGGCAAACUUUGAUGCCAGGUGGAUGUAAUAUGUGUAAUAGCCGUGAUAGCCUAGCGUAAGUUGCCUACUUAUUUAUUUCCUUUUUGUCUUGUUUAUUUGUUUGCUUGUAGUUAGUGCAGUUCUUUUUCCGUAGUUUGCGUGUGGCCGCAAUAACCUAUUUUUUAAAACUAGGCCACAAUAACCAUGGGCUACAUAUUUACUAUAGUUACCAUGGGCCUCCUACGGGCCAUAGAAACAAUGGGCCUUCUAAGGCCCAUAGAAACAAUGGGCCUUCUACGGGCCGUAGCAUCAAUGAGCCUUCUAUGAGCCGUAUGAUCGAUCGGCCAAACAUGGGCCAAUAAUAAACCGCAUUAUGGGUCGUAAACAGGCUAGAUUUGGAAUCGUCCGUUCAUGGGACGACCAUAACGGGUCGUCGUUAAUCGGCCGUAUUUGAUGACACUAUGAAAAUUGCCCAAAGGAUUAACGGGCCGACUGUAACCACGGGCUGGAUUUGGCCCACAAGCAGAAAAGGCUAGUAACGCGCCGUAAGUAACCGAAUGCUGGAAAAAAUCCCAAGAAUAAAUAGGCCCUGAGAAGGCCAAAAUAUAACACGGUUUGGAAAUGGCCCAAUGGAAUAAUGGGCCCGUAAUGGGUAUAAAGAGGUACACUGUUCAUUGCGGGCCAGAUUCACCACGGGCCGUUAAUGGGUCAAGAGUUACAAAUGGCCUCGUAUGGGCUGAAAGACAUCAUGGGCCAUACAUGGGCAGGAAGUUACAAUGGGCUGGAAUCAUAUUGGACGGCCCAGAUGAAGCUACUGGGCUUAAUUCCGAUAGGCCGUAACGGGCCGUGAGUUAGCAGGUCGUAAAUGGGCUAUAUACGAAUAGUCCGUUAACAGGCUUUCCGUGGACCGGCGCGUUACCUUUUGACCAAGUCAAACGGGUCGGCCUUUUCACCGGAAUGGGCCUCUGUUGGGCCAUGCCACGUGUUGACGUAUCAUAGGUGCCUCCUGUCCAAUGAAUGGAUGACAUCUGUCCCAACGGUGAGCCAACACGUGUUUCCUCCGACCAAUGACAAUUUUACACGUGGAAAAUCCUCAUUGGUUUGGGCUGUUAACGGGUUAUCGGAUCCAAAACCGGACCCGACAGCUUGACGGUGACCCGUUAUGGUGGAUGCCACGUGUCGGUCACUGUCGGUGUCAAAACCGGCGGAUCUCGGGUAGGGGGUCCCGAACUGUGCGUCUAGGGCGGAUGGUAACAGGAGGCAGGGGACAUGAUGUUUUACCCAGGGUCGGGCCCUCUUGAUGGAGAUAAAACCCUACGUCCUGCUUGAUUAUUCUUGAUAAUAUGAGUAGUACAAGAGUUGAUCUACCACGAGAGCGGAGAGGCUAAACCCUAGAAGCUAGCCUAUGGUAUGCUUGUCUGUUGUCCUACGGACUAAAACCCUCCGGUUUAUAUAGACAAUAUAGGGGGCUAGGGUUACACAAGGUCGGUUACAAAGGAGGAGAUAUACAUAUCCGUAUUGCCUGGCUUGCCUUCCAUGCCAAGUAGAGUCCCAUCCAGACACGGGACGAAGUCUUCAAUCUUGUGUCUUCAUAGUCCAACAGUCCGGCCAAAGGAUAUAGUCCAGCUGUCCGGAGACCCCCUAAUCUAGGACUCCCUCAGUAGCCCCUGAACCAGGCUUCAAUGACGAUGAGUCCGGCGCGUAGUGUUGUCUUUGGCAGUGCAAGGCGGGUUCCUCCUCCGAAUACACCAUGGAAGAGUUUGAAUACAAGGAUAGUGUCCGACCCUGCAAAAUAAGUUCCACAUACCACUGUAGAGAGAAUAAUAUUUCCAGAAAUCUAAUCUGCUAACAUGUUUUGGCAGCAUGACCUCACGCCAUGGCCGGUAAUUAUUUGAACCGUUUUUCUUUAACCAGCCCCGCACAUAACGCGAGGCGAUUUCUUGACACGUCUUGUCAAAGCAGAGAUCGUGCUCCCCUUAUUACGGGAUUCUCAUUAAUACGGACGUGGGUAACCCAACCGUGCCUAGGACUCCUAGAUUUUAGGCAAGUCCCAAAUGACCACGAGGAGGACGAUUGAUAUUCACCCUCUUUAUAAAGGGACAAGACUUUUACUUUUUUUCCUCCCAUGCUCAAUCGAAUCCUUCCCCUGCCUCGAGUUCUAACACCCAAAUCCCAGGUCAGGUGCUUCGGACCUUCAAUCGUGUCUGGAUCCAGCCUUCAAGGCCGGUGGAUACCUUCCUCCGUCACGGAGGAGGAUAUCAAGAAGCUGAGGGAGGCCAGAUAUCUGACCGCUGAAAUUUUGCAUAGGCUGCCCGCAUGAGGGCAGGUCGUCCAUACUCCCGAACCCAACGAGAGCGUUGUGUUCGUAUCCCACUUCCUACGAGGACUAGGCCUCGCUCUGGAUCCCUUUGUUAGGGGUCUUAUGUUCUAUUACAGGCUGGAUUUUCACGAUCUGGCCCCGGAUUCCCUUCUUCACAUCUCGUCAUUUAUUGUCGUUUGUGAGGCAUUCCUCCGCAUUACCCCUCACUUCGGCCUGUGGCUCAAGACCUUUGAUGUGAAGCCAAAGACAGUUGAGCGGUAGUACGCAGCGUGCGGAGGUGCUCUAAUAAGCAGAAUUGCUGACGCUCCAUGGCCGAAGGGUUCCUUUCCAGAGGUGUCCGGAUUGUGGCAACAAGAGUGGUUUUACGUCACAGCUCCCCGAAGUGCCAAGUGGGUAACUGCCCCCACCUUUCGCUCGGGCCCUCCACCACAACUAAUGUCAUGGAUCAGCAAGGGGCUGAGCUGGGGUCCAGCCAAGGACGUGCCCAUAAUGCAGAGCCGCAUCCGAGAUCUCUUCGAGGGAGAUUUCAGUCUGGAUAUGGUAAUGCAAGUUAUGCUGGUUCGUCGAGUCCAGCCUUGCAAACGCCGGCCCCUCCGCAUGUGGGAAUUCAACCCGGAAGGACCAUGCACUAUUCAGAAUUUGAUGUACAAAUCGUUCUUCGGAACCCAAAUGGAGUGUCCGGACACUACCGAGGACAUGGGCCUGAGCAGCAACCGCACCAAUUCCCAAGUAAGUAAUCCCAUGGCUGAACACACCGUCCUUUUAUUUACCAUGACAUCAUUCUGAAGAAUCGCUCUUUAACCAGGACUGGAUAACAAAGGCGAAGAUGAUCCGAUGUUCGGCCCCCCUUCCUGAAGGCUUGGAAAAUCUGAUGCAGGAAAAGAUGCGUGAGCCAACACCUUGUCUAGUGCCCUCAAAGGAAGAUGAAGGGGGAAUCAAGAGGGCGAAAGCGGGCCUCCAUCGCUACCUAUUCCAACCGAGGGAAUGAGUGCCUCCGCAAGGGAGGAUAACCAAGGGGAAGAAUCUAGCAUUCUCUCUCCACGGGGAAGGAAGAGGACUACCUCUGAAGAUCCGGAAACCAAGGUUUCCAAACGGGAGAAGAAAUCUCCACCAGAGGGUCCUGUCUCGGAGGGUGUUCUUGUCGCACAAUGUCCACGUGAGGAUCAGCACUCUAAUGAGCUGUAAGUAAUCAAAAAGUACUUAAUAGUGAAGAUAUCCUACCUUACUUCUGAGGAAAAUAACCGAAGCAUUUAUCUUGCUGUUCGGAUCUUAGCCCUUCUUAGCAGAGCUCGUCUUCAGGUGAUCUUCCUCCGGAGAUGAUGGAGAGCGAAACGCCUCCUCGGGACUCCGCAGCCCAUGAGGCGGGCGACCUUUGAAGUGUCGUCGUGGAGGGUUUCUCCUGAUCCAGCAAGGCCAGAAGGUAAUCCUAUGGCCACCCAAAGUCCCUAGUGUCCGGCUCUUGAAGAGAGCAAUCAAAAGAGUCCAGCACCAUCUGGUAUGCGGUCGGACGUACUGAGGGAUCUGUUAGAGAGAGCGACUAUCUCAAAAGAGCACCGUACGUUGAUGGGUACGGUGAUUGAAAGGAUUUCGUCCGCCGAAAGCGGGUUGCAUGAAGCCUUUAUGAGUCUACUGACGGGUUUUGAGGUACGUGAAAUGAUGUACAUUUUUGAUAGUACCGCACAUAUUUAGGUGUGCCCUAUGUAGAUAGUAUCCCCUGAGACUCUAGUUGUUGUCGAGAACGGCGGCAAACAGAGGAUCGUAGUCCCAGGUAAUAACCAGACCGCUUAUAUGCGUAGGUGGUUGAAGCUCUGGUGGCUAGCCGGACUGAUGGGUUUGCCGAACUAAGGCGGCAACUGGAUGCGGCAAAUGCCGACAUCGUGCUUGUUAACAAGCGGCUUGACGAGGCGCAGGGUAGGUGAUUUUUCUGGUGAAUGUCACAUAGUGAGAGCAACAUGAUGCCAGUAUCUUUAAUAUGUUGUGACUGCAGAUGGAGCUGCCACCGUGGAGACCCUUCGGGUGGAGCUUGCCCGAGCCAUGGAGCAAGCAAGGAGUAGUAAUGCGGCCGCUUUAAGGGCGGCCGAAGAGUUAAGGGCCAAAUAGGCCGCGCAUAGCGAGAGCAAAGAAAGAAAUGGCCAAGAUGGCUGUAAAGUUAAAAGAUACUGCUGAUCGUUGCCAGCUUCUUGAAGAAGAAAACUGGGCGAAGGUGACGGACCUGGAGAAGGCCACAAUGGAGACCAAAGACACCCGCUCUGUGAUGAGAGCGAAGAAGGAGGAGCUGCGUCAAGCUGGGGAUAUCGCGGCUGGGAGACCUUUUAUGCUACGUAGGAAGUUUGGAGAUCCUCGGUAUGCCCCUCUGGACCGGCUGUGGAGUUCGGCGGACGCAUAUCUGGACUUGGCGGCGAGUGUUGUCGAUGCGGCCGAAUACUUCUGAGAUCAAACAGAUCGUGAAGUGGACAAGCUAUUCUGGUCACAAUUUAACGUUCCAGAGCGUCCGCUUCCAUUGACUGAUCGGCUUGCCGAAUGGGCCGAGCUGAAUAGAUUGUCCGUACUCGCCAUGAGGUCUGUUGUGGAUCAUCUGUGGCCGGAAAGGCCAAAGCCGAACAGCUAUUUUAGUUUGGUGCAGCAGUUCCUUGGUGCGGUGCCGCACAUGAAUGCGAUGAAGAGGUCGGCGUGCAUAGAAGGCUCGCGGAUGGCCCUUGCCCGUGUCAAAACAUACUGGGCGGAGAUGGAUGCCACCACUGUUGCGGUGCAGGGUUCGGCCGUAGGCCGAGUGGCUGUCGAGCACUAUUUUGAAGAAGUUCUUGAAGGCGCUCAUUCGAUAGAGGCCCCGUGCUCGAAGAAUAUUAUGUUUGAGUGACACGUAUUCCCAUUGUAAAAAUAAUGUUUUAUUAAGUUUAUCAAGGUUGUAUUUAUACUUUUGCCCGAAAGUAUUAUGAUGCCUCCUGUGCGGCCGUGUAUGUAUAUUUUUAUAUAACCUAAAAGAUUGCAGUCGUCGGCUUCAGCCCCCACGCAUAUAAUGCGGGGGUGUUUGCAAAAGACGCAUGUUCACACUUGAUCCAACAUGUUGGUCCAUUAAGGAGGUGAUAGCACAGCGAACUAGGCAACUGGACUAUAAUGCUUUAACACUUUCACUUAGCCAGAGGAGUUUGACAGUGGGGCUACUAUAUAGCCCCUGGUGGCUCCGCACUUAUCCGAAUUCGGGGUGCGUACAUGCCUGGCUGGGAAACGGCCCUUCGUUAAGGCGGAGGAAUCCCGAAGAUUCCGAUAGGUCAUCGAGUGGUUGACUAGUCUCACGCUAUAUCAUGACAGUCAAUUUUCGGCUUUCUCUACUGAGGUGCUCAUCCGGAUAAACCAGGGCACAAUCACAGUAGUUCUCCUGGUGCUGCCUUAGCCAAUAGAGCGAAACAUAAGGCAGCAAAACACAGGAGCCGGGCAAACCCAACAUUUGACGGAAGACAUGAUUCGGAGCUGAUGCAUAUAAGGCCAAACUCGCGACGCCGAACACUCCCUAAGGUAUUCGGUCUUUAUGGUGUAAACCGGGCCUAAACAGUGUCCUUUGUAAUAAGCCCCUGGUGUCCAGGUACGUGCAUUAUUCUGACAUGGCCACAUGCCAAGACGUCAGCAUCCUUCUCAAUUGUACUGAGAAUCCGAGGGAUGUGUAUCAACAAGAGACAGUAAAAAAGGUUUACACAGGGUCCUAAUCUAAAAAGAAUCCUUGGAGCGGGUCCCUGCUGCUCAUAUGCGCUUGUGUCUCCAUUGUGUCGUAUCCUGGACGGGUGUAGCAUGAUGGUCAUCUGUAAAAGAGAGGAACUUAGUUGAAAAGUUAUCGUACAAAAAGGUAGGUUAUACUAAAGAAACCAUGUAUAAUUCAAGAUGAGUAAAAUUGAGCCUAAUUGUCACUUGUUUGCGCGAGUUGAGCCCCUUGUAUUGUAAUAGGGGUAUGGCCAUCAAACCUGUAUCAACUACAUAUAUCUGCGCCGGACUCGUCUAACCGCGUCCGUGGUUUUAACGACCUGUCAAAUGCUUUAGUUGGUGAGGCCGUUUAGUGUGCGGCUGCCAGGGCAGCCGCACGGUCUUUCAUGCGCAAGGAACGCUCAAUAUUUACAUUUACUGUAAUGAUGCCGCGUGGACCGGGCGUCUUAAGCAUGAGAGAAGCGUAAUGCGGUAUUGCGUUAAAGCGAGCGAAAGCUUCACGUUUGAGUAGUGCUUGAUAGCCACUUUGGAACGGAGCGAUGUGGAAGGUUAACUUUUUGCUGCGGAAGUUAUCAGGAAAGCCGAAUAUUACCUCUAGUAGUAGGGAGCCCAUGCAAUGGGCUUCUGUGCCUGGCGUUACUCCUUUAAAGGUAGUAUUGCUAUGCCUAAUUUUUGCUGGGUCUACCCCCAUGUUGCUGACUGUGUCCUGAUAUAUCAGGUUUAAACUGCUGCCGCCGUCCAUCAGGACUCAUAUAAAGUGGCAUCCGUCAAUUAUUGGGUCUAAUACCAAGGUAGCCCAUCCUGCCCACCGGAUACUUGCCGAGUAAUCCCGAUGGUCAAAAGUGAUCGGUUGGGACGACCAGUGGCAGAACUCCGUGGCGAUAGGCCCUGGGGCAUGUGGCUCUAGGCAUGUCACUUUGUUUCUCCCCUUUAUCACGUGUAACACAUUGACUGUUUUGACUUCUGGUGGGAAUUUCUUCUGUUCCCCGGUGAUUUGCUUGCGAGGCUCAUCCUCGUCUUCGCUUGGUGUAUCCUGCCCCUUAUGUUCGGCGUUGAGCUUGCCGGACUGCUUGAAGACCCAACAUUCUCUAUGGGUAUGAUUUGCAGGUUUAUCGGGGGUACUAUGGAUCUGACAUAUUUGGUCCAGAAUCUUGUUUAGGCUAGCAGUUCGUCUCUGUUGCCUUUGGAGGGCGUCUUUUGCUGACCUGGCCGAGAGCUUCUGAAUCUGGCUUUUACCGUCGUGCUCUUCGGGUUGUCUUCUUUAUUUCGGUGCUUGUUUUUGCUGUGUCGUGAUUUCCCGUUUCCGUCCCUCACUUCGGAUGUACUUGGGUCGCUGGUGCUGCAUCGGGCUAACCAACUGCCCUCGCCCGCGCAAAAGUGGGUCAUGAGGCUUGUUAAUGCUGCCAUUGUUCUCGGCUUUUCUUGGCCGAGGUGUCUGGCGAGCCAUUUGUCUCGAACGCUGUGCUUGAAAGCUGCUAAGGCAUCGGCGUCCGGACAGUCGACUAUUUGGUUCUUCUUAGUGAGGAACCUGUUCCAAAGCUUUCGGGCUGACUCUCCAGGCUGUUGAGUUAUAUGACUUAAAUCGUCUACAUCCGGUAGUCGGACAUAGGUCCCUUGAAAAUUUGCCCGAAAGGCAUCUUCGAGCUCUUCCCAGCUUCCAAUGGAGUUUUCGGGGAGGCUUUUAAGUCAGUGCCGAGCUGGCCCUUUGAGCUUGAGGGGUAAGUACUUGAUGGCAUGGAGAUCGUCUCCUCGAGCCAUGUGGAUAUGGAGGAUGUAGUCCUCAAUCCAGAACCCAGGGUCUGUCGUUCCGUCGUACGCCUCUAUGUUUACGGGUUUGAAUCCCUCUGGAAAUUCAUGGUCCAGCACCUCAUCGGUGAAACAUAGGGGGUGUGCGGCACCCCUGUAUUUGGGUAUACCAUGGUGUUCAGAUGUUUGUUGUGUUGCAUUGCAUGCUGGAGUGCCGUUGCGUGGCCCGUAUAUGGAUUUGGUUGCGCCGUCCUUUUGAUGCGAGCCCUCGUGUGGAUCGCGUACUGGCUUAUGUGCAGCGUCGUUUGCCGCUCUAUGUUGGUCACGAGGUCAUCUAGCUGACCGAAUGGCCGUUUUGUUUUUUAAUUGCGGCGGAUCUAAGGCCUCCUCAUCGAAUUCGGGUAGCUCUUGGUGUGGCGAUUACCGCCGUACUUCGCUGCAGUAUUGAGUACUUCGCUCCAUCUGAUUCUGAGUGUGUCUUGUGCAGCCCUGAGCCUUUGCUUCUGCUUUUUCAGACUCCUCGCAGUGGCAACAAGCCUUUUAUGGGCAUUCUGUUGCUCCAGGUGCCUGUUCGGUGUGAUGUCGUCCGGACUGUUAUCUUCGACGGAGUCGGGUUGUUCGGUUUGAUUCUCCGUGUUGCCGUGGUCGGGCAAUGGUUCACCCUGCUCUAACGCUGGGUCUAUAUGGUCGUUGUUUCUGUCGAGGCAGGAUUUGGAGCGGCGCUUACGCCGCCGCUUUGACUGCUUCUCGAGGGAACAACCCUUCGCUGCGUCCUUCCGUUCCUCGUCGUCAUUUUCUUUGGGUGCAUCCACCAUGUAUACGUCAGAUGAUGAAGUGGGCGUCCAGUGCCCUGUGGGCAGUGGUUCCUAUUCGUCUCCUGCAUUGUCGUCCAUACCGUCGAUGUCAUCGGAGUCGAAGUCGAGCAUGUCAGUCAAAUUGUCGAUAGUGGAUACUAAGUGGGUGGUGGGUGGGCGGCGAAUUUCUUCGUCAUCCGCAUCCUGAUCCUGCUGGACAUAGUUCGGCCAGGACUCUCCUGACAAGGAGAGAGACCUUAAUGAGUUCAGUAUGUCGCCGAAGGGCGAGUGCUGAAAGAUAUCCGCGGAGGUAAACUCCAUGACUGGCGCCCAGUCGGAUUCGAUAGGCACGGGCACAGGCGGUUCGGAGUCCGUGGCUGGGGAAGGAUCCAACAGCUUGGCAUCACGGCUCUCGUGAAGGGUAAGGUUGAUAUUCGGCUUGAUCGCCACUGAGGAUACGACCUCUGUGUCGGGGUCUAUCCACCCAUCCAUGGAUGGUGCAACUAGUUCCGAAUUGAGGGUCGGAGCGGUUGCUGGCGCGAUCUCCUGAACACUGUCCGAUGGUAGAGCUAAAUCAUGCUCAUCGUGACCGUGUGGCGCACAAGGCAGGGGCUUGAAUCCGUCGAAGAUCAACUCACCGGGGAUAUCGGCCGUGUAGUUUAAGCUUCCAAACCUGACCUGGUGGCCAGGGGCGUAACUCUCGAUCUGCUCCAGAUGGCCAAGCGAGUUGGCCCGCAGUGCAAAGCCGCCGAAUACAAAGAUCUGUCCGGGGAGAAAAGUCUCACCCUGGACUGCAUCGCUAUCGAUGAUUGAAGGAGCCAUGAAGCCUAAUGAUGAUGACACAGAGGAACUCUUAGUGAAGGCACCAAUGUCGGUGUCAAAACCGGCGGAUCUCGGGUAGGGGGUCCCAAACUGUGCGUCUAGGGCAGAUGGCAACAGGAGGCAGGGGACACGAUGUUUUACCCAGGUUCGGGCCCUCUUAAUGGAGGUAAAACCCUAUGUCCUACUUGAUUAUUCUUGAUAAUAUGAGUAGUACAAGAGUUGAUUUACCACGAGAUCGGAGAGGCUAAACCCUAGAAGCUAGCCUAUGGUAUGAUUGUCUGUUGUCCUACGGACUAAAACCUCCAGGUUAUAUAGACACCGGAGGGGGCUAGGGUUACACAAGGUCGGUUACAAAGGAGAUAUACAUAUCUGUAUUGCCUGGCUUGCCUUCCACGCCAAGUAGAGUCCCAUCCGGACACGGGACGAAGUCUUCAAUCUUGUGUCUUCAUAGUCCAACAGUUCGGCCAAAGGAUAUAGUCCGGCUGUCCGGAGACCCCAUAAUCCAGGACUCCCUCAGUCAACCUUUACGAAAGCACUUCUAUGACGCGUGAUUUAUCGUCAUGGAAGUAGACACUUUCAUGAUGAUAAUUUUGGUAAUGUCAUGGAACACUUCUACGACAGCACAGGUAUGACUAUCUUGAUUCUGUCAUAAAAUCAUCAUGGAUGUACAUGCAUGACAGAAAACAUGACCUACUGUGACAAACACGUAUCAUCACGAAAGUGUCCUUUUUUGUAGUGAUGCAUGCUGAAUAGAGGUUUUUGGGUGGAGUAUUAGUAGUAGAUGUAGUUGGACUAAUAGUCUACUUAUCAUUGCUGUAAUGCCUAUUUGAGAUUAUACCAUGAAUGAUCAUAUUCAUAAAUAUUGCAAUCUUUUCAAUCGCCUAACUGUAAUUUGUUUACCAUGCUACUUUCUAUUUCGAGAGAGAUUUCACUAGUGAACCUAUGGCCCCAGGUUAUAUUCUCCGUUGCCUAAUUCUUCUACAAAAUUGCCACUAUUUUUCCACUUUACUAUUUUCUAUUAUCUCUAUCACGUGUCUUUUACCUUGUAAUGAGCAAGACAAGGGGAUUGACAACCCUCUUUCCAUGUUGGGGACAAGUAUUGUUUGUGUUUUGUGUGCAUGUGUUGUUGACCUAUGUAGCAUAGAAGCUCCUACUGGUUCGAUAAACCUUGGUUCUUCACUGAGGAAAAACUUGUUAUUUGCUGCUUCACCCUUCCUAUUGGGGGAAGCCCAAUGACUCUUGCGGGAGUAGACGCGACCAAAAAUGUUCGCUCCAUGGACCCUCUUGGGGCAAACAAAUCAUUCGGGGGGGAGGGGGUCGAGGGUUCCUCCUAGAGUUGACAUAUGCUAAAUUAUAGGCCCCUCCAUUUACGCCAUCAUAUUAAUAUGGGAAAGUAAAUCAUGAACUAACAUUCUAUAAUAUUUAUAUCUGCUGCAAAACAAAAGACCCAAAGAGGCAAAUCCAACUAAUAUGGCGAGCCAAUCCUGUGCAUCCAAUGACCUAAAUGGUUCUAUUGGUGAGUACUAACAUAUUUAGCAUGCAAUCAAUAUCAUACCAUAUAUUAACAAUAGCACUAACAAAUAACUAGCGUGUAACUGAUAUCCUACCUUUACCAAAAAAAUCGUACCUAAUAUCAACAUGCAUAUUUAAUACCUUGUCUAAUUUUAACUCUCAGUUAAUGCCAUAUCUGAUAUCAAUGUGCACUACACGUACGCAUUUACUAAUCUAGGUCAAAUGUCCAUAGACCCGCUCUGGAUGCAUCCGGGCAUCAACUAUUUGUUUGUAGUUUAAGUGGUACCGACGAUAUUUCAUACCUGUCGGCCACAUAUUUGCAAUGGCUAUAUUUUUUGUCAAGGUGCAUUCCCGUCCAUUAGUUGUUUGAUAGUGCUUGAUAUGAUUUUCCCAGGCAAGUUGAUCUCGUCCCUUCUUGUCCAUAAGCUAUCGGCUGGAUUCAAUUCUCCUAGCCUUCUCCCUAACCUCCACCCCCCAUCUCCUUCUGAGGUCAUAGUGGGCUAAUCAGUCAGAUGCCAAGGAUGGGGUAGUGGGGAACUCCUUCAAAUUCCACGAGUGAGCAAAGGGUGUGGUCAAGGCAUACCAUAUGGCUGGGGUGCCACAGAAGUUCCUAUCAGGUUGAUGAGUCUUUGUGGCGAUUUUGGAUAAUUCAUCGGCGGCAAUGCGUGUGAUGGAGGUCGGUCGGUGGUGGCUCAUUGAGCAUCUCUCUGGUUUGCCUGGAUGGAUCUGUACUCAGUCAGUUUGAAGCCCAUAGGUGUCUCCGGCGAUGCUUUUGGGCGUAGGCGGAGCACCUAUGUGGUGUAGAGGUGGUUCCAUGGUGCAUGUCGUGCUGAGUCCAAUUUUGCAUCUUACUUCUUGUUUUGUAUUGUAGCCAUAGGAUUUUCGGGAUUUUAGCGCAUUCGUGCGCCCUUUUUGUCUAUUUUCCCAGGAUCUUAACGAAGGAGAGAAUCAAAGCAUUAUGAUGAGUCCAAUUUAUGUGAUGUUUUUACUAAGUAUUUUGUGCCUACGUAG
Molecule: long non-coding RNA, 42850 nt
Filed under: Triticum aestivum (bread wheat)
Lineage: Eukaryota; Viridiplantae; Streptophyta; Magnoliopsida; Poales; Poaceae
Description: long non-coding RNA (TAES_LNC001233)
Source: RNAcentral